This 991-nucleotide long non-coding RNA is filed under the name Equus caballus (horse). RNAcentral describes it as "lncRNA (ENSECAG00000052261.1)". The record is from RNAcentral. Lineage: Eukaryota; Metazoa; Chordata; Mammalia; Perissodactyla; Equidae.
GGGCUGCAGUGGGGGAAGAGGAGCUAUGACCUGUGGUACGCUUCCUCAUAAAUGUUUAACAACUUGUUCUUCACGGAGAAAAAAGGCCUACUUGAAAUAUUUGCUGGUUUUUGUGGAGUGAAUCCUCCCUCCAUGGCCAAUUUCAAGCUACCAAGGUGAAGUCAGUGAAGGUGGAGUUGGGAAGAGACGCGGAGUAGCACAGCUUUAUCUAUGAUUUCCAUCACACAAACCCAAUGGACCAAACACCACUAACACCAAACUGCCUGAGUUGCAGAACCUGCCCUGCCGUUUCAGACUUCUCUGCCUGUAAUCCAUCAGCCACUUCAUCCUUAAAAACCCAGCUCAAAGCUCACCUCCAUCAGGAAGCAUCCUCAGCCCCCAGAAAUAAGUGGUCACUGAACACACAGCAAGAUAGAUGGUAGCCACCUAUAAGCCAAAAGAAGAGGCCUCACAAUUAAACCUAUCUUGCUGGAACCUUGAUCUUGAACUUCCAUCCUCCAGAACUGUGAGAAAUAAGAUUCUGUUCUUUAAGCCACCCCGUCUAUGAUAUUUUGUUAUGGCAGCCUGAGUUGACUAAUAUAUAUAAUAUGAAUAUAUAGUAAUGUAAUAAUUAUAAGAAGAAGAACGUACUUUGUGUGUUCCAGGCAUUGUUCUAGCCAUUUUGUAUGGAUUAGCUCACAUAAUCUUUAAAACAACACAUGCUGUAGCUACUAUUGUCUUCAUUUAACAAAUAAAGCAACUAAAGUUCAGAGAGAUUAUGUCUUUCUUUUAGAAAUGAUGAACCUGAAGUCGAUAAAGGUUAAGAAAUGCACACAAGUCACACAGCAGACUUGAGGUUUGUGACUUGGCUCUGUGGGGCUGUAUGCCCUUUGCUCCUAAUCCCUACGUGACCCGGUGCCUGCCCUAAAGGGGAUUAAAACCUUAAUGUCCCAUUCAGGGCUGCUGAAGAACUUUGGGAUGUUUUGCUUGGAAAUAUGUGGUAGCUGCCUCA